AUUGAACGCUGGCGGCAGGCCUAACACAUGCAAGUCGAGCGAGCGGCGGACGGGUGAGUAAGGGCUGGGAAACUGCGGGAUGGAGGGGGAUAACUACGGGAAACGAUAGCGAAAAACGCAUACCAUGGGAUGUGCCGAGAUGGGGUUAGCUAGUAGGUGGGGUAACGGCUCACCUAGGCGACGAUCCCUAGCUGGUCUGAGAGGAUGACCAGCCACACUGGAACUGAGACACGGUCCAGACUCCUACGGGAGGCAGCAGUGGGGAAUAUUGCGCAAUGGGCGCAAGCCUGAUGCAGCCAUGCCGCGUGUAUGAAGAAGGCCUUCGGGUUGUAAAGUACUUUCAUCGGGGAGGCGUUACCCACAGAAGAAGCACCGGCUAACUCCGUGCCAGCAGCCGCGGUAAUAC
Molecule: ribosomal RNA, 406 nt
Filed under: uncultured bacterium
Lineage: Bacteria
Description: partial 16S ribosomal RNA
Rfam family: Bacterial small subunit ribosomal RNA
Source: RNAcentral